CAAGUCGAGCGGACAGAUGGGAGCUUGCUCCCUGAUGUUAGCGGCGGACGGGUGAGUAACACGUGGGUAACCUGCCUGUAAGACUGGGAUAACUCCGGGAAACCGGGGCUAAUACCGGAUGGUUGUUUGAACCGCAUGGUUCAAACAUAAAAGGUGGCUUCGGCUACCACUUACAGAUGGACCCGCGGCGCAUUAGCUAGUUGGUGAGGUAACGGCUCACCAAGGCGACGAUGCGUAGCCGACCUGAGAGGGUGAUCGGCCACACUGGGACUGAGACACGGCCCAGACUCCUACGGGAGGCAGCAGUAGGGAAUCUUCCGCAAUGGACGAAAGUCUGACGGAGCAACGCCGCGUGAGUGAUGAAGGUUUUCGGAUCGUAAAGCUCUGUUGUUAGGGAAGAACAAGUACCGUUCGAAUAGGGCGGUACCUUGACGGUACCUAACCAGAAAGGCACGGCUAACUACGUGCCAGCAGCCGCGGUAAUACGUAGGUGGCAAGCGUUGUCCGGAAUUAUUGGGCGUAAAGGGCUCGCAGGCGGUUUCUUAAGUCUGAUGUGAAAGCCCCCGGCUCAACCGGGGAGGGUCAUUGGAAAACUGGGGAACUUUGAGUGCAGAAGAGGGAGAGUGGAAUUCCACGUGUAGCCGGGUGAAAUGCGUAGAGAUGUGGAGGAACACCAGUGGCGAAAGGCCGACUCUCC
RNAcentral lists this ribosomal RNA (697 nucleotides) under Bacillus subtilis. RNAcentral describes it as "bacterial SSU rRNA". It matches the Rfam family "Bacterial small subunit ribosomal RNA", at positions 58 to 729 of the family's 1533-position model. The record is from RNAcentral. Lineage: Bacteria; Bacillati; Bacillota; Bacilli; Caryophanales; Bacillaceae.